AACUGCACGGCAUCAUGCGAUACGCGAUGCAGCGAGACCAAGAGGCCAAAUCUGUGCAAGAGGGCGUGCGGGAGCUGCUGCGGAAAGUGCAAGUGUGUGCCACCAGGCACUUCUGGGAACUAUGAGGCCUGCCCUUGCUACUUCAACCUCAAGACUCAUAACAACACCCGCAAAUGUCCUUAGAUGUUUUCAUAAAUCAUCUAUGAGUGUUUAUAUAUUGUCUUUAUUAGUUUUGGUCUUAACUCUCAUGUAUUGCUGCAUUAAAAUUAAGGUAGCUACCGAAUGAUAAGAAGCUGGAUUUCAUUAUGCAUGAAGUGAAGCAAACUCGGCAGUAUCAGUGUAAUUUUGAGUGAUGAUAUGUGAUAAAUCGACAGAUCAUUAUUUGAGAUAAAAGAGCAGGCUUUUGUUUAUUAUGGGGCCGUUUGGCUGAAUUUAAAAAAACUGACUUAUUGCUUAAAGUAAAGAAGUGGAUUAUAAGUUAGAAGUUAAUUUAAACUUGUAAGUUAUUAGAAGUGUUUGGAUAUCAUAAUUUAUAAGUUAAAUAUCUCUAUUAGAAGAAGCUGUAAUUUAGAAAAAAAGCUAGCUUUCCUUACUCUUUUUUUUUUGGAGCUUUUACGCCUCAGUAUAAACGCUUCUGUUGCAGAGCAAAACAGUCUCUAUAUACAGGAUUGUAGAUAUUUUAAAUUAUAUCACUGACAGAUUCUCAGCGGAGAGGAAGUGGACUAGUGGAGAACAUAAUGGCUGGUUAAUUUGUUUUUUAGAAAUAAACAUUUGUUUCUGAAAAUAGAUACAUAAAAUCCUACAGUAAUUUUUUUCAAGGCAACAGGCAAUGGACAACAGGCCUGAGACCAUGGCGCCUUUCACGCCUUUGCCACUUAUCAGUUACAGGGGCAGAACAACCCCCAAGAAAACAGGGACAGGAUUUGAGAUGAAAACUGUUUCAUCACAAUUUUUAAUUUCAAAAUAAAUAUAUUUCCUUCAUUUUUAAUUUCAACCUGUGGAAAUAAUGCUAAAUAAAUCAAUUUGUUUGCUACUGCCUAUGUCUGAAACUUCGUUUUCAUUGCUCGAGUGUUGAGGCUCUUUUCCGUUAAGAAUCUUCCCAACAUCAUCGUCAAAAAUGAGUUCCUCAUUUUCUUCAUCAUCUAUAUUGAUUCCUGCUAACUGCACGUUUAUAUUUAUUAUUAUCGUGGAUAUUGAAAUAUUAAUAGGGUUUAUCUAGUGUGUGUCCAUGGGCACAUACUAAGCACGGAAACUCAUAAAUUUGGUGUGUUUUGAUUGGUGAAAUUGGUGUGAAUGCAGGAGGGUCAUCAUUACUAAAGAGGUGUAAGCCAAUCAAAACAAGGAAAAGUUAUCAAAUUUUGUACUUAUUGUGUGCACAUGGGCAUACCAUAGAAAAACCGAUAUUAAUAUAUGACAAGUUGAAACUUUAGACCAAACUCUUGAAAUUGAAGGAUGUUUGGUUUAAAUAUAGAACAAGAUUUAGAUCAAAGGGUCCUAUUCCCAGACAAUCGUCUGUCAGGGAGGGCUUAUCUAACAUACUGUACGAGGGCCGUUAGAUUUAUAUUUUAAGGAUUGAGAUUCAAUCUUAUUUUUUAAUACAUCCGCUAUUAAUAUCUGUGACCGGAAUAGUUUCAUUCCGCAGAUAUUAUCUGCGGAAAGGCGAACUCCCGUUCCACGAAUAUUUAUAGCAGAUCCAUUAAAAAAUAAGAUUGAAUCUCAAAUCUUAAAAUACAGAUCUAACGUCUCCCGUACAGUGUGUUAGAUAGCCCACCCAGAUGAAAAUAAACUUCACCUUUUAAAGAUGGCCUUCACCGUCGCCUUAGCACGGUUAAUUACUUAAUUAUGUGCACUGCCAUGGAAUCCUUGUAGAGCUAGCUAGCCACUAGCCAGUGAGCAACUGAAUAAACAUUCACCGUCACGCAUGAGCUGGCUGUGAACUGUACAAUGAUGAUACACAUACUCAAAAAGAAGUACAGUAGGUGACAAACGACAUGCAGUAGUGGGAACAAGUGAAACAAGUACUCCUAUCUAUCUUUGUGCGUAUCCAACUGGACAGGUUCUUAAUUGUUUUGGCCCAUUGCCAUCUGUAUUCUCAGAAUCUCAGUCUUAUGUUUGAAAACAUGAGCUCCAAACAGGUGCAAACUGCAAACUCACCUUCUUGGAUCCCUCUUUAAGUCCAAAUAUAUUCACCACUUGCCCUUUAUUAUAAAACUCAAUCUUAUCUCUAAAUCUUUGCCAGCCCAUACAUUAAGUCAUCAUACGACCCCUGCUCCACUUCAGAUCAUCACUCUCACUAUAAAUUCCUCACUUCCUCUUCUUCACAUUUUCACAUCAAGCUAGCUUUAUUUACUUUAUUAACAGAACAAUGGCAGCAUUCUCUAGAGCAUUUGCACUUCUCCUGCUUCUCAUUUUCAUCACAGAUUUCCAGCAAAUAGUAAUGUCUUCACAUACUCAACUGAUAAUUUUACUGUACAGUACAAUUAUAUAAGACAUUGCAUAUGUUGCACUUAUUAAUGAAUUUUUUUUUUUUUUGCAGGCAGGGUUGAUGAAUGGUCCAGUGGCACCACCAGCUAUCAACUGCACGGCAUCAUGCGAUACGCGAUGCAGCGAGACCAAGAGGCCAAAUCUGUGCAAGAGGGCGUGCGGGAGCUGCUGCGGAAAGUGCAAGUGUGUGCCACCAGGCACUUCUGGGAACUAUGAGGCCUGCCCUUGCUACUUCAACCUCAAGACUCAUAACAACACCCGCAAAUGUCCUUAAAUGUUUUCAUAAAUCAUCUAUGAGUGUUUAUAUAUUGUCAUUAUUAGUUUUGGUCCAAUGUAUUGCUGCAUUAGAAUUAAGGUUGCUGCCGAAUGAUAAGCUGGAUU
RNAcentral lists this long non-coding RNA (2865 nucleotides) under Daucus carota (carrot). RNAcentral's name for it is "long non-coding RNA (DCAR_LNC003362)". Lineage: Eukaryota; Viridiplantae; Streptophyta; Magnoliopsida; Apiales; Apiaceae. The record is from RNAcentral.